RNAcentral lists this ribosomal RNA (550 nucleotides) under uncultured bacterium. RNAcentral's name for it is "bacterial SSU rRNA". It matches the Rfam family "Bacterial small subunit ribosomal RNA", at positions 355 to 896 of the family's 1533-position model. The record is from RNAcentral.
UGGGGAAUUUUUCGCAAUGGGCGCAAGCCUGACGAAGCAACGCCGCGUGGAGGAUGAAGGUCUUCGGAUUGUAAACUCCUGUCGACCGGGACGAAUGCACCCGACCUAAUACGUCGGAAUGUUGACGGUACCGGUGGAGGAAGCCACGGCUAACUCUGUGCCAGCAGCCGCGGUAAUACAGAGGUGGCAAGCGUUGUUCGGAAUUACUGGGCGUAAAGGGCGCGUAGGCGGCCUUGUAAGUCUCGUGUGAAAGCCCUCGGCUUAACUGAGGAUCUGCACGGGAUACUGCGAGGCUUGAGUUCGGGAGAGGAAAGCGGAAUUCCGGGUGUAGCGGUGAAAUGCGUAGAUAUCCGGAGGAACACCAGUGGCGAAGGCGGCUUUCUGGACCGACACUGACGCUGAGGCGCGAAAGCUAGGGGAGCAAACGGGAUUAGAUACCCCGGUAGUCCUAGCUGUAAACGAUGAUCGCUGGGUGUGGGGGGUUUUUACUCCCCCCGUGCCGAAGCUAACGCAUUAAGCGAUCCGCCUGGGGAGUACGGUCGCAAGGCUG